GACGAACGCUGGCGGCGCGCCUAACACAUGCAAGUCGAACGAGGUUCGAGAAGUACACCGAGCGGUUGGAGACGACCGUUGGGCGUACUUUUUGAAUCUAGUGGCGAACGGGUGAGUAACACGUGAGCAACCUGCCCUUUAGAGGGGGAUAACACUUAGAAAUAGGUGCUAAUACCGCAUAAGACCACAACGCCGAAUGGCGAAGGGGUCAAAGGAGAAAUCCGCUAAAGGAUGGGCUCGCGCCCGAUUAGCUAGUUGGUGAGGUAACGGCCCACCAAGGCAACGAUCGGUAGCCGGACUGAGAGGUUGAACGGCCACAUUGGGACUGAGACACGGCCCAGACUCCUACGGGAGGCAGCAGUGGGGAAUAUUGCACAAUGGAGGAAACUCUGAUGCAGCGACGCCGCGUGAGGGAAGAAGGUUUUCGGAUUGUAAACCUCUGUCUUCGGGGACGAAACAAAUGACGGUACCCGAGGAGGAAGCCACGGCUAACUACGUGCCAGCAGCCGCCGUAAAAC
Molecule: ribosomal RNA, 518 nt
Filed under: uncultured bacterium
Lineage: Bacteria
Description: bacterial SSU rRNA
Rfam family: Bacterial small subunit ribosomal RNA
Source: RNAcentral